Molecule: ribosomal RNA, 254 nt
Filed under: uncultured bacterium
Lineage: Bacteria
Description: partial 16S ribosomal RNA
Rfam family: Bacterial small subunit ribosomal RNA
Source: RNAcentral
UACGUAGGGAGCGAGCGUUGUCCGGAUUCAUUGGGCGUAAAGAGCUCGUAGGCGGUUCAGUAAGUCGGGUGUGAAAUCUCCGUGCUCAACACGGAGCGGCCACCUGAUACUGCUGUGACUCGAGUCCGGUAGGGGAGUGUGGAAUUCCCGGUGUAGCGGUGAAAUGCGCAGAUAUCAGGAAGAACACCCGUGGCGAAGGCGGCUCUCUGGAACGCAACUGACGCUGAGACGCGAAAGCGUGGGGAGCAAACAGG